This is a long non-coding RNA of Pollicipes pollicipes, 841 nucleotides long. RefSeq lists it as uncharacterized. NCBI's taxonomy places the organism in Eukaryota, Metazoa, Arthropoda, Thecostraca, Pollicipedomorpha, Pollicipedidae. The transcript is spliced from 2 exons. The record is from RefSeq and is a predicted model, not a curated record.
UGCGCGGUCACCGCACGGCGGCCGGCGCGGCCGGCGUCACCGGCGCCGGCGGCGGCGGCGGCGGCGGCGGCGCCCAGCACACGCUCAGCACCGUGCCCAACCUGUCCACCUCCGAUCUCACGUACGGCAGGGCUGCCAGCUCGACGUGGAAGAAGUAGUACAUGUUGCCGGCGACGAGCAUGGCCGAGGUCGUCCGGCCAGCCGAUGCCCGCAUACAUAUAACUAGUGCUGCCCCGACUCGGGCCGGACACACACCUCAGCUUUGCCCGCCGCCGCCGGGUGUCGGGCGGCGCACGUGCACUAACCGGCGAGGCGGUCACGUACUUGGUGCAGUGUUUUAUAAUCGUGAUACGUGGACUUUGUACUGACGGUGAACCAGCGCUUGCUUAUUGAUACCACGUGGUCUCGGCUGUGCGGUCAGCGCCCAUCCCACUGGGGUGUUGGCCGGCGGGGCGGGGCCCAGCGGCGCCGGGCGGGCCCGGCCGCGCGGCCGCGGCAGGCCACGCGCCGCCGCCGGGCCGCAGCCGCCAGCGCUUCUGUCCGCCGCCGGCGAGCGGGCCGGCACGAGCGGUCUUCACCAUUGUUACCGCGGCGCGAUAGUUGUUUGCGUUUCCGGGUGUGUCAAAUCGAGCUGCGCGGGAGGACCGGCUGAUGUGUGCGCGUGUGUGGGCGUGUGUGCGGAUUUGCCAGCUGUUUGCCGACAUACGCGGGGCUGGUGGAACAGAGGCACUUGAUAAUGAUUUGUCCGCAUGAAAUUGUGAACUGAUCUUCCGCAUCUUCUCUUUUAAUUGUAAAAUUGCGAAUCUUUGUCCUGCGAAUUUACGUUUUCCCGCUGCGAUUA